Sinocyclocheilus grahami is the source of this 2361-nucleotide long non-coding RNA. Ensembl lists it as uncharacterized. NCBI's taxonomy places the organism in Eukaryota, Metazoa, Chordata, Actinopteri, Cypriniformes, Cyprinidae. The record is from Ensembl.
GACUGUAAAAAGCAGAAAGUGCUGCUCAUUACAGAGCACUGAUCAGAGCUGAGUGACUGACUGACACUGCUGCAAAAACUCUACAGUCAGCUAAAUACAAACAGGUUUUAGAUACAGAGACAGCAGAACAGCAUGUGCACUGCGGCUGAAGAACACACCGUGUGGAUCGGGUUCAUGGACAUCGUUCCUGUCAUCGGGACGGUAAAAGAGGCAGUGGAGCUGGUGUUGGCUCUGUACGAAGGGAAUAAAGCGGUGAUAAAGGAGAAAGAGAAGGCCAUUGAAAACAUUGUGAAAGAGUCAUUAAAAAAACACGUGAAGGCAAAACAUAUGAAAAAGUUGUCUCUACCUGAUAAACCAGCAGCAGCUGGAGCUGAAUUUUCUGGACUCAUAAAUGUGAGAGAGGUCAGAAAGGAAAUGAUUAUUGAACAUAUGGUCAAAGGUUCCAAAAGGGGAACAAAACCUCCAACUCCAGCUCAGCAGAAAGAGACACAGAAAAGAGUGGAGGCUAUUAAGAAAGACAUGUUAGAAAAGAUCCAUAUCAUCAAUCCAAACUUCAAACACGAGCUGAAGGAAGAACUGGGAAGGUCAGAAAGAGGCGAACAUGUCUUCAACAAUAGCAUUCUUAAAUUUCAUUUCAAAGUGCUGACUGAUUUUAUACAAAGCCAUCAUAUUGAUAAUCUAGGAGGAUAUAAUCAGCAGGCAAUGGAUACAUUAGGCAGCCACACACUUCCCCCAAACACAGCAGAAGAUAUUCAGACGAACAUGGUGGUUCACUUUGGUGAGGAUGAAUUCUACGUGAAUGCGAAUGGAGUGAUGUAUGGUGAAUAUUGCAGAGCACUGCGUGGUGCUUUGAUAGAUGUGCUGCGCCGCAUAAACCCAGGUGAUGUGACAGAAGAGGAGAGACAAAGGGUGAAUUUUGUCAUAGAUAAUAUGAAUAACCUUGAAAUCUAUGUGGACCAACUGGCAAAGGUCAGGUGGAUUGCCAAUAUAGAGAUUAGACAGGGCCGGUUUGAACAGGUAAGACAGGAAGUUGCGACCAUGUACAAAACAGCUCGUGGGUUUGACUGGUGCAUUCAUAUUUUGCAUGAAGUUGCACCUUUGUAUGGACAGUGAAUUUAUUUCUCCUGUUCAGGGUUGCCAGGUUUCCUUUCAAAAUUUCCAGCUCAACUACAUCCUAAAUUCCACAGACCUGAAACUAGCUUAAAAAGUUUGGACACUGGAAGAAACUAAAAGUUCACUGUUUUGUGCACAUAUUUGUAUAUUUGCAAUGUUUCCAACACACUUAGGGUUAGAGUUUUGUCAUCCAUUGCCUGUUACGACUUAUCCUCUCCAUAAUCCUGUUUUUCCUCUCCCAACCUGUGCAGAAAUGGCUCCGUACAUUUUCCAUACUUUACGCUUUCCCUUUGUUUGCCAUAACCAGUGGUUUUCUGUGAAAUGUAUUAGCUUUACUUCUGAUGAUUUGCUCUAAAACAAGACCUAAGCUUUUUUUUUGUGUACUUUCCCACACCCCCAAAAAGCACCACCCAUGGUCUUGCUUUUUCUAACCCAACCUUGUUCCAAAACGGGAAAAUCUGACUUUGGCAACCCUGCUCCUCAAAAUGAUCCAUUUUACUCAAAAAGAAAAUGCUAAUUUCCAACAUAAAGAUUAAUGCACUCAGCUACAUGUCUGUAACUAAAAUUGAAAGCCGAGCCUGAUAACAAGCUAAAGUUUAGUUCUUGUUAAAAUGACUGUGUGUAAAUGUGAAGCAGAACGGGGAUGUUGGAGGCAACUCAAUUCCUCCAUCUCCUUUUAUUCCCUCCAUCGUCGUUGUUACAACCACCUGAUCGGGAGGAUUCGCGAUCAUGUGCAAAGACUUUAGGGCUCUGUAGUAUUGCUCUAAAAUAAAAAUAAAAAACGUAAGUAAUUUAACAGAACAGGAGGAUUAAUGAUUAUCAUCCAGCCAUCAGGGCUUUUAAUGCAGCACUUAUUCUCUAAAGACUCUAAAUAUGUUUGAGCUUUGUUGAGAAAAACCACAUGUUUGGAUAUUUGGGUAUGGUACGAGUUUAUAUUACAGAUGUAUACAUUAUUAUUCGACUUUAUAGCACAGCUUAGAGCUUAUUACACAGACAUCCUCACUGGUAUUGUAAACUUUCUUCAAUUUUCAGAUGAUUGAAUUAUGAUAUUUUACCAUUUACUCUAAUUACCUGAUUACGGUUACUAACUCAUUUUGUUUAGCAAAUCUCAUUGUGAUCUGUUAUAUUGAAUUGUUUCUAAUGCAAAAUUCCUGGAAAGCAUGCUGAGCUGCAUUUACAUGUAUGGAACAAGUUCCAUGGAAAUAUGUUUAAAAUAAAAUAAAGUGAUUACUAACAGCCUACAGUGCC